This 269-nucleotide ribosomal RNA is filed under the name uncultured bacterium. Its description in RNAcentral is "partial 16S ribosomal RNA". It matches the Rfam family "Bacterial small subunit ribosomal RNA", at positions 793 to 1055 of the family's 1533-position model. The record is from RNAcentral.
GUCCACGCCGUAAACGAUGAGCACUAGGUGUUGCGGGUAUUGACCCCUGCAGUGCCGACGCUAACGCAUUAAGUGCUCCGCCUGGGGAGUACGGCCGCAAGGCUAAAAACUCAAAAGGAAUUGACGGGGGCCCGCACAAGCGGUGGAGUAUGUGGUUUAAUUCGACGCAACGCGCAGAACCUUACCCGGUCUUGACAUUGAAGGAAUCCUUUGGAAACUUAGGAGUACCCCGCAAGGGGACCUGAAAACAGGUGCUGCAUGGCUGUCGU